AGUUUGAUCCUGGCUCAGGACGAACGCUGGCGGCGUGCCUAAUACAUGCAAGUCGAGCGGAUGACAGAGGAGCUUGCUCCUCUCGAUUCAGCGGCGGACGGGUGAGUAACACGUGGGCAACCUGCCCUGUAGAUUGGGAUAACUCCGGGAAACCGGGGCUAAUACCGAAUAAUCCUUCGGACCUCAUGGUCCGAUGUUGAAAGGCGGCUUCGGCUGUCACUACAGGAUGGGCCCGCGGCGCAUUAGCUAGUUGGUGAGGUAACGGCUCACCAAGGCCACGAUGCGUAGCCGACCUGAGAGGGUGAUCGGCCACACUGGGACUGAGACACGGCCCAGACUCCUACGGGAGGCAGCAGUAGGGAAUCUUCCACAAUGGACGAAAGUCUGAUGGAGCAACGCCGCGUGAGUGAAGAAGGUUCUCGGAUCGUAAAACUCUGUUGUGAGGGAAGAACAAGUACCGGAGUAACUGCCGGUACCUUGACGGUACCUCAUUAGAAAGCCACGGCUAACUACGUGCCAGCAGCCGCGGUAAUACGUAGGUGGCAAGCGUUGUCCGGAAUCAUUGGGCGUAAAGCGCGCGCA
Molecule: ribosomal RNA, 582 nt
Filed under: Bacillus sp. 16a(2010)
Lineage: Bacteria; Bacillati; Bacillota; Bacilli; Caryophanales; Bacillaceae
Description: bacterial SSU rRNA
Rfam family: Bacterial small subunit ribosomal RNA
Source: RNAcentral